Molecule: ribosomal RNA, 490 nt
Filed under: uncultured bacterium
Lineage: Bacteria
Description: partial 16S ribosomal RNA
Rfam family: Bacterial small subunit ribosomal RNA
Source: RNAcentral
GAUGAACGCUAGCGGCAGGCCUAAUACAUGCAAGUCGAACGGGAUCCAGAUCAAAGCUUGCUUUGGUUUGGUGAGAGUGGCGUACGGGUGCGUAACGCGUGAGCAACCUACCCUUGUCAGGGGGAUAGCCCGGCGAAAGUCGGAUUAAUACCGCAUGACAUCAUUGAGAGGCAUCUUUCGAUGAUCAAAGAUUUAUCGGACAAGGAUGGGCUCGCGUGACAUUAGCUAGUUGGUAAGGUAACGGCUUACCAAGGCUACGAUGUCUAGGGGCUCUGAGAGGAGAAUCCACCACACUGGUACUGAGACACGGACCAGACUCCUACGGGAGGCAGCAGUAAGGAAUAUUGGUCAAUGGACGGAAGUCUGAACCAGCCAUGCCGCGUGCAGGAAGACGGCCCUAUGGGUUGUAAACUGCUUUUAUACGGGAACAAACGUCGGUACGUGUACCGGUCUGAGUGUACCGUAAGAAUAAGAAUCGGCUAACUCCGUG